CUUGGCCAUAAAAUAAACAUCAAGGUGGGAUUUGGAAGUCAGACAAGAGCUGAGCUGUGUGCAUGCAGAGGCUCCUUGUGCUUGGGCUGAACCAAGUGAGCAAGGAACACAAGGAUGUCACGUGCAAAAUAGCAAAGCUGGCAGCAGCAAGCAGUGGGUACGAAUAUGGGGAGAAGGUCAUCUGAGACUAGAUGUCACUGACAGCAAUGAUCACACAGCUUGAAGGCAUCUGUUUUGAAGCUAAUGUCAAUUUUUGCUUUGUUCUGUGUUCACAGAUGCAGUGCGUUCCCCAAUUAUACCAACAGAAUCUUCUACACCCACUAUUGUCACAGAGGGAAGUGCCACAUCAGCUACUGAAAUCCCAGACACAACUUAUGAAGGCUUCACCUCCACUACAGAAGAAGAUGGGACUACAGAAAUCCCCACCUUGCCUCCAGAAGAUCCCUUCUCUGUCCCCAGCACUGCAACUACACAGACAACAGAUGUUACAGAGAUCCUGGCCACCACUCUGGGAGGUGAGGCACUCCUCUGCUGAAGGUACUCCCAAAAACAACAAGGAUCACAUCCCUCACUGCCCUAACAAUGGCUGCUGCAUCUUUACCAAUGUCUACUGCAUCUCCAGCAGUAGAAGGCGGCAGUCAGAAAUAACACCGGGAUCUAGUGCCAUUAAAUGCUCAAUCAGGGUGGUUUACAGGCUCUUUUCAGUAAGAACAGGGGGCUGUCCUUGACUCACUUCCCUGCAAAACCCAUCCCCACCUACUUGCAUCAAGAU
RNAcentral lists this long non-coding RNA (772 nucleotides) under Coturnix japonica (Japanese quail). RNAcentral's name for it is "lncRNA (ENSCJPG00005020165.1)". Lineage: Eukaryota; Metazoa; Chordata; Aves; Galliformes; Phasianidae. The record is from RNAcentral.